AACCAGCGAAGGCGACUGGGAGCUGGAGGCCCCCAAAUUACCAUUCAUCUGGCCUUGUUGUGGAAAUUUUCAAGGGAUUUGCAGUAAUUAUAUGACAAAAUGCUUGCAAAUCUCACUCAUUGCUGAACAGAAACAGGCGGGUCAGGGAUUGAACACUUUCAGCUGGGUAAUUUGUAAAUGUCAAUCACGCAACAGGGCAGAGAGAGAGACAGAAAAAGAGGAGCCAGGAAAAGACUGUAGCAACCUCAGUGUAAGAGGCUUCUUCACCCUCCCCAAGCCGGCAGUGGAAAGGGCCAGGCCAAAGUCAAGGCAGAAGGUGAGGAAACUGAGGCUUGGCGAGGCUGUGAUUUUGGCUCAAGAUAAUUUGCUCCUUAACAAGAAGAGCAUGGAUUUGAACCUAGGCUCACUGACUCCACAUCCUUUCCACCACUGCCUUCAAGGAGCUUAUUCCUACCAGCUUCAUUUGAGGAACUACACACAUUCUUCGAGCACACACCUGUCACACCACCACUACGUCGCGUGAACGGCAAACCUGACAAGCUGUGAACAGAACAAGAUACCAUUCUUCUGAAGCAGGACUGUCCAGCUCUCCAGAUUCCAAGGAUCUUUUUUAGCAUCUCAGUCAUUUGACACCCCACCAACCACAGGCACUCACAAGCGCACUGGAUGGUUCUAUUUCUAAACACCUGUAAAUUGAGAAAAGCGCCCAAUGACCCAAAGCUACAACAAACCCAAGCACACUUUUAAAGGAAUUUUAAUUUUCAUCACCAUAUUCUUGGGGGAAAAAAAUUAAAACACAGGCAAAUAAGACAGAAGUCCUGCAGUCUACACUUUUGUCAUGAUCUCCAAAGGGGGGUUAUGUUGACAGCCACAGGGCCACUCCAGCAGAGCCGGAAGGUGUUUCUCUUACAGCUUUAAACUGGAGUCUCACCUGCCCACACUGCCUGGAGUGCGCCAUUCACUCCUCAGAGGAGCAGCAAGGUGCCCGGGCUCCUUCCCUGUGCUGAGCACGGCUCUAGAGGCCAGAGUUACAGUGGCAAACAAAACAGGGGACCAAAAGCCCGCUGUCCUGGAGCUCACUUUGCAUUCAUCAUUUUCUCAGUCUUGAAAUGAUUUUGUGAGAGGCACAAUUAUAUGCCUUGUCUUUCGUGAGUUAAAAGUGUUAACUUACGGAAUGUAACUCACAUAACCCUUCUGCAAUACUUGUUGGCAUUUCUUCCUCUUUAAAUGCACUGGAGGGAUUUCCCUGGUGGUCCAGGGGUUAAGAAUCUGCCUUGCCAUGCAGGGGACAUGAGUUCGAUCCCUGGUGGGGGAACUCAGAUCCCACAGACUGAGGAGCAACUAAGUCCGUGAACUCUAGAGCCUGCGCUUCACAGCUAGGGAGUCCAAGUGCCAUGAAGAAAGAUCCCACAUGCUGUAACUAAGACCUGAGGCAGCUAAAUAA
Molecule: long non-coding RNA, 1444 nt
Organism: Bos taurus (domestic cattle)
Lineage: Eukaryota; Metazoa; Chordata; Mammalia; Artiodactyla; Bovidae
Source: Ensembl